Molecule: ribosomal RNA, 253 nt
Filed under: uncultured bacterium
Lineage: Bacteria
Description: partial 16S ribosomal RNA
Rfam family: Bacterial small subunit ribosomal RNA
Source: RNAcentral
UACGAAGGGUGCAAGCGUUACUCGGAAUUACUGGGCGUAAAGCGUGCGUAGGUGGUUUGUUAAGUCUGAUGUGAAAUCCCCGGGCUUAACCUGGGAAUUGCAUUUGUGACUGCCCGGCUAGAGUGUGUCAGAGGGGGGUAGAAUUCCACGUGUAGCAGUGAAAUGCGUAGAGAUGUGGAGGAAUACCGAUGGCGAAGGCAGCCCCCUGGGAUAACACUGACGCUCAUGCACGAAAGCGUGGGGAGCAAACAGG